Molecule: ribosomal RNA, 483 nt
Filed under: uncultured bacterium
Lineage: Bacteria
Description: partial 16S ribosomal RNA
Rfam family: Bacterial small subunit ribosomal RNA
Source: RNAcentral
AUUGAACGCUGGCGGCAGGCCUAACACAUGCAAGUCGAGCGGACGAAGCGAGCUUGCUCCCGGAUUCAGCGGCGGACGGGUGAGUAAUGCCUAGGAAUCUGCCUGGUAGUGGGGGAUAACGUCCGGAAACGGGCGCUAAUACCGCAUACGUCCUGUGGGAGACAGUGGGGCUCUUCGGACCUCACGCUCUCAGAUGAGACUAGGUCGGAUUAGCUCGCUGGUGGGGGAAAGUCCUACCAAGGCGACGUUCCGUAACUGGUCUGAGAGGAUGAUCAGGCACACGGGAACUGAGACACAGUCCAGACUCCGACGGUAGGAAGCAGUGGGGAAUAUUGGACAAGGGGGGAGAGCCUGAUCCAGCCAUGCCGCGUGUGUGAAGAAGGUCUUCGGAUUGUAAAGCACUUUAAGUUGGGAGGAGGGGCAGUAAGUUAAUACCUGGCUGUUUUGACGGUACCAACAGAAGAAGCACCGGCUAACUUCGUG